Molecule: ribosomal RNA, 444 nt
Filed under: Lecanora kenyana
Lineage: Eukaryota; Fungi; Ascomycota; Lecanoromycetes; Lecanorales; Lecanoraceae
Description: SSU rRNA
Rfam family: Bacterial small subunit ribosomal RNA
Source: RNAcentral
AAAGGAUAUUGGUCAAUAGCCUAACGGCUGAACCAGCAACUUGGAAGAAUGUAUAGCGAGAGCUGAUUGCAUAGAUACAUAUUUCAUGCAAUAUCGACUUAGUCGAAUAAAAUUCUAGGUAGAAUUAUGAUCAUGACAUUGUUUGCCUAUAAGUCUUGACCAAAUUACGUGCCAGCAGUCGCGGUAAAACGUAGCAGACUAGUGUUAUUCAUCUUUAAUAGGUUUAAAGGGUACCUAGACGGUAGAUAAAGCCUUAAAGAGGGACUGAUUUGCUAGAGUUACUUGUGAGGGAGCUAUAAUGUACUGAUGGAGUAGAGAUAAAAUUUUACAAUACCUAAUUUCGAAAGAAAUAUUUAUGGCACAGGUUUAGGCGAAAGCAUCUUCUUAUGUGAUAACUGACGUUGAGGACGAAGGACCCCUAUUCCUCACUGCUACUAAUGUUCC